RNAcentral lists this ribosomal RNA (429 nucleotides) under Acidobacteriota bacterium. Its description in RNAcentral is "Acidobacteria bacterium partial 16S ribosomal RNA". It matches the Rfam family "Bacterial small subunit ribosomal RNA", at positions 355 to 776 of the family's 1533-position model. The record is from RNAcentral. Lineage: Bacteria; Pseudomonadati; Acidobacteriota.
UGGGGAAUUUUGGACAAUGGGGGAAACCCUGAUCCAGCCAUCCCGCGUGUGCGAUGAAGGCCUUCGGGUUGUAAAGCACUUUUGGCAGGAAAGAAACGUCAUGGGCUAAUACCCCGUGAAACUGACGGUACCUGCAGAAUAAGCACCGGCUAACUACGUGCCAGCAGCCGCGGUAAUACGUAGGGUGCAAGCGUUAAUCGGAAUUACUGGGCGUAAAGCGUGCGCAGGCGGUUCGGAAAGAAAGAUGUGAAAUCCCAGAGCUCAACUUUGGAACUGCAUUUUUAACUACCGGGCUAGAGUGUGACAGAGGGAGGGGGAAUUCCGCGUGUAGCAGUGAAAUGCGUAGAUAUGCGGAGGAACACCGAUGGCGAAGGCAGCCUCCUGGGAUAACACUGACGCUCAUGCACGAAAGCGUGGGGAGCAAACAGG